GCCCUCGUAGUUCAAUGGAUAGAAUAGCUCCAUCCUAAGGAGUCAGAUCCAAGUUCGACUCUUGGCGAGGGCA
This 73-nucleotide transfer RNA is filed under the name Candidatus Tayloriibacteriota bacterium. Its description in RNAcentral is "tRNA-Arg". It matches the Rfam family "tRNA". From Rfam's summary of the family: Transfer RNA (tRNA) molecules are approximately 80 nucleotides in length. Their secondary structure includes four short double-helical elements and three loops (D, anti-codon, and T loops). Further hydrogen bonds mediate the characteristic L-shaped molecular structure. tRNAs have two regions of fundamental functional importance: the anti-codon, which is responsible for specific mRNA codon recognition, and the 3' end, to which the tRNAs corresponding amino acid is attached (by aminoacyl-tRNA synthetases). tRNAs cope with the degeneracy of the genetic code in two manners: having more than one tRNA (with a specific anti-codon) for a particular amino acid; and 'wobble' base-pairing, i.e. permitting non-standard base-pairing at the 3rd anti-codon position. The record is from RNAcentral. Lineage: Bacteria; Candidatus Tayloriibacteriota.